CUACGGGGCGCAGCAGUGAGGAAUAUUGCACAAUGGGGGGAACCCUGAUGCAGCAACGCCGCGUGGAGGAUGGCGCAUUUCGGUGUGUAAACUCCUUUUAUAUGUCAAGAAAAUGACGGUAGCAUAUGAAUAAGCACCGGCUAACUCCGUGCCAGCAGCCGCGGUAAUACGGAGGGUGCAAGCGUUACUCGGAAUCACUGGGCGUAAAGGACGCGUAGGCGGGUUGGAAAGUCAGGUGUGAAAUCCUACAGCUUAACUGUAGAACUGCACUUGAAACUUCUAAUCUAGAGUAUGGAAGGGGGAGAUGGAAUUAGUGGUGUAGGGGUAAAAUCCGUAGAUAUCACUAGGAAUACCUAAAGCGAAGGCGAUCUCCUGGAACAUUACUGACGCUAAGGCGUGAAAGCGUGGGGAGCAAACAGGAUUAGAUACCCGUGUAGUC
Molecule: ribosomal RNA, 439 nt
Filed under: uncultured bacterium
Lineage: Bacteria
Description: partial 16S ribosomal RNA
Rfam family: Bacterial small subunit ribosomal RNA
Source: RNAcentral